UCAGAAGGAACAUCAAUGGCGAAGGCAGCUGUCUGGACCAAUACUGACGCUGAGGUACGAAAGCGUGGGUAGCAAACAGGAUUAGAUACCCUGGUAGUCCACGCCGUAAACGAUGAUAACUAGCCGUUGGGGGGAUUUACCCUUUAGUGGCGAAGCUAACGCGUUAAGUUAUCCGCCUGGGGAGUACGGCCGCAAGGUUAAAACUCAAAGGAAUUGACGGGGACCCGCACAAGCGGUGGAGCAUGUGGUUUAAUUCGAUGCAACGCGAAGAACCUUACCUGGUCUUGACAUCCUGCGAACUUUCUAGAAAUAGAUUGGUGCCUUCGGGAACGCAGUGACAGGUGCUGCAUGGCUGUCGUCAGCUCGUGUCGUGAGAUGUUGGGUUAAGUCCCGUAACGAGCGCAACCCCUAUCCUUAUUUGCCAGCACGUCAUGGUGGGAACUAUAAGGAGACUGCCGGUGAUAAACCGGAGGAAGGCGGGGACGACGUCAAGUCAUCAUGGCCCUUACGACCAGGGCUACACACGUGCUACAAUGGGAAGGACAAAGAGCCGCGAAGCCGCGAGGUGUAGCUAAUCUCAGAAACCUUUUCGUAGUCCGGAUUGGAGUCUGCAACUCGACUCCAUGAAGUCGGAAUCGCUAGUAAUCGUAGAUCAGAAUGCUACGGUGAAUACGUUCCCGGGUCUUGUACACACCGCCCGUCAUACCAUGGGAGUGGGUUGCACCAGAAGUGGCUAGUCUAACUUAG
RNAcentral lists this ribosomal RNA (747 nucleotides) under uncultured prokaryote. RNAcentral's name for it is "bacterial SSU rRNA". It matches the Rfam family "Bacterial small subunit ribosomal RNA", at positions 697 to 1443 of the family's 1533-position model. The record is from RNAcentral.